This is a long non-coding RNA of Saccostrea cuccullata (small rock oyster), 474 nucleotides long. RefSeq lists it as uncharacterized. The transcript is spliced from 3 exons. NCBI's taxonomy places the organism in Eukaryota, Metazoa, Mollusca, Bivalvia, Ostreida, Ostreidae. The record is from RefSeq and is a predicted model, not a curated record.
AAAUUAUUGUCAACAAACCCACGUGGAGCACAAAUGAUUUACAAUGAUUGACUGGAAGUGACAGGCCUUCUCUUCAAAAUAAACAAGAUGUGUCCCUGCUGCGGAGGCAGCUAACAGAAAGGGGAUAUAAUUAAGAUUGCAUUGUGGAAUUGCCCUGUGCCACCUCUAAAUGGCAGAAGAAAACUCAACUCAGCACAACCAGAAACACUUUUCUGAAGAAAAUGCUGCCAAGAGACAGUUGUGAAGGGAAUCAUGUAGAUAAUCUCCAGAAAAGAAAUUACCACUGAUAUUGGGAUGUAUGUACCAAUAUUUUAAUACAAUCAUCAAAGACAAAUUUACCACAGGAAUAAAAAUAAAACUGUCUGGCAUUCAAGGGCCUGCCAUGGUAGAAGCUCUCCUGAAAAAAUAUUCCAUUUAUUUUGGACAUCAUGACACAGGGCUCACCUGUCACCAGCAUUAAAUACUUGUGUGAUU